RNAcentral lists this ribosomal RNA (387 nucleotides) under uncultured bacterium. RNAcentral's name for it is "bacterial SSU rRNA". It matches the Rfam family "Bacterial small subunit ribosomal RNA", at positions 28 to 424 of the family's 1533-position model. The record is from RNAcentral.
GACGAACGCUGGCGGCGUGCUUAACACAUGCAAGUCAAGGGGGCCCAGCAAUGGGCAACCGGCGAACGGGUGCGUAACACGUGAGCAACCUACCGAACUGUGGGGGAUAGCCGGCCUAACGGCCGAGUAAUACCGCAUACGCUCUCAGAGAGGCAUUUCUUCGAGAGGAAACCUACGGGACAGAUCGAGGGGCUCGCGGCCUAUCAGCUAGUUGGCGAGGUAACGGCUCACCAAGGCAACGACGGGUAGCUGGUCUGAGAGGAUGGCCAGCCACAUUGGGACUGAGAUACGGCCCAGACUCCUACGGGAGGCAGCAGUGGGGAAUCUUGCGCAAUGGCCUAACGGCUGACGCAGCGACGCCGCGUGUGGGAUGAAGCUCUUCGGAGU